CUGGGUCCUGGCCUCGGGCCUCCACCCAGCCCCUCCCGGCGCUCUGGGAAAAGCCAGUCGCCACACACAGGCACACGCAGGCCCCGGGGCCGCGCCCUAAGGAGAGCGGCACCCAAGGCCAAUUGCCAUGGCAACCCCGGGUUCGUUCCAUCCCCCCCCCGCCGAUCCCCCCCGCCUCCUGCCUGAGCUGCAGCCAACCGGCUUGUGCGCGUCCCAGGAGCGCGCUAUAAAACCUGCGCGGUGGCGCUGGGGAGAGCCGAGCCCGACCUGGAGCGGGACGAGCAGAGCCAAUCUCAGACCUGGAAAGUCUUGUGAAAGCGGCAGGACAAAGCCUGAACAUGCAGAGAGCGCAGAGCCUGCGCCUCGGUCUGCCCAAGCGGUGCCUCUGCCUGGCUUUCCUGCUCCUCCAUCUCCUGGGACAGGUCGCUGCGACUCAGCGCUGCCCUCCCUCGUGUCCGGCCCCCUGCCCCAAGAAGCCGCCGACCUGCGCCCCCGGGGUGAGAGCGGUCCUGGACGACUGCUCCUGCUGCCUGGUGUGCGCCCGCCAGCGCGGUGAGAGCUGCUCGGUGAUGCUGCCUUGCGAGGAGAGCCGCGGUCUCUUCUGCGACCGCCGAGCCGACCCCAGCGCCCAGACCGGCAUCUGCAUGGGUAACCUUGCCCGCUCCGCUGCCUGACCUCCUGUCCCUCGCCCAGCGAAGCUGCCCGCUCUUCCCUCUCCCCUUCCUCCCGCUCCCCAGCCGGUGAUGCGCAAAUACUAAUUACGGGAUGCAGUGGGUGAUGUUCAUGGAGCUGUGUGCGCCAGCCUUGGUCUGGGGGCGCUUGGGGUCUUUGGAGAACGCCAGAAGCUGGGAACAAAACCUGCCGGCGGAGGGGGGAAGCGUUCAUUACUUGCCUCCCCAGAGAAGAAUCUAGAGAGACAGGGAGCAGAGCCCAGUGAGGGACCAGUGAAGUCAUUUCCUUUGGACGUUUCCAGGGGACGCUUGGGGGUGAUGGAAGCAUGGGCUUAC
RNAcentral lists this long non-coding RNA (1007 nucleotides) under Sus scrofa (pig). RNAcentral describes it as "lncRNA (ENSSSCG00055000045.1)". The record is from RNAcentral. Lineage: Eukaryota; Metazoa; Chordata; Mammalia; Artiodactyla; Suidae.